Non-coding RNA from Sordaria macrospora k-hell, 82 nucleotides. Lineage: Eukaryota; Fungi; Ascomycota; Sordariomycetes; Sordariales; Sordariaceae. The record is from the annotation of a RefSeq genome assembly.
ACCUUACUGGUGUAUCGGUUAACAUGGCGGAUUCUCAGUCUCAAAACUUCCGCAGCGCAGGGUUCAACUCCCUGGUAGGGUA